AUUUUAGUUAUUACUUCAUUGGUUGUGGGCCUUUCAGUAGUAUUUUGUGACCACAUUUGUUUAUAUAAUGUUUUAUAGGUACCUUUAAAUUCAUCAUCAAUAUUAUUAUCUAUAGGGCGAUGCCCUUUUGCAGAAAGGAGUUGGUCUAUUUUGUUUUAUAACUUCUGGAGCAGUAUAUCCUGGUGUACCCUAAGAAAAAAAUCUUUUUAAUAAGCAAUAAAGACCAUAUUAUAUAAUAAAAA
Molecule: long non-coding RNA, 242 nt
Organism: Apis laboriosa (Himalayan honeybee)
Lineage: Eukaryota; Metazoa; Arthropoda; Insecta; Hymenoptera; Apidae
Exons: 2
Source: RefSeq, a predicted model, not a curated record